This 205-nucleotide ribosomal RNA is filed under the name Mopalia ferreirai. RNAcentral describes it as "partial 28S ribosomal RNA". It matches the Rfam family "Eukaryotic large subunit ribosomal RNA", at positions 649 to 822 of the family's 3401-position model. The record is from RNAcentral. Lineage: Eukaryota; Metazoa; Mollusca; Polyplacophora; Chitonida; Mopaliidae.
CCGUCUUGAAACACGGACCAAGGAGUCUAACAUGUGCGCGAGUCAUUGGGUCRCACUAAACCYAAAGGCGCAAUGAAAGUAAAGGCAGCCUCGGGUUUGCCUAGGUAGGAUCYUUUUUUCUCUUUUGAGAGGAGGCGCACUACCGGCCCGUCUCGUCCGCGUUGCGGUGAGGCGGAGCGAGAGCGYACACGUUGGGACCCGAAAG